This 448-nucleotide ribosomal RNA is filed under the name uncultured bacterium. RNAcentral describes it as "bacterial SSU rRNA". It matches the Rfam family "Bacterial small subunit ribosomal RNA", at positions 32 to 484 of the family's 1533-position model. The record is from RNAcentral.
AAUCAACGCUGGCGGCGUGCCUCAGACAUGCAAGUCGAACGAUUAAAGCUCUCUUCGGAGAGUGUAUAGAGUGGCGCACGGGUGAGUAACACGUAAGUAAUCUACCUUUGAGUGGGGAAUAACAAUCGGAAACGAUUGCUAAUACCGCAUAAUGCAGCGGCAUCGCAAGAUGACAGUUGUUAAAGGAGCAAUCCGCUUAAAGAGGAGCUUGCGGCAGAUUAGCUAGUUGGUAAGGUAAUAGGCUUACCAAGGCUACGAUCUGUAUCCGGUCUAAGAGGACGGUCGGACACACUGACACUGAAUAACGGGUCAGACUCCUACGGAGGCAGCAGUCGGGAAUUUUGGGUCAAUGGGCGAAAGCCUGACCCCAGCAACGCCGCGUGAAGGAUGAAGUAUUUCGGUAUGUAAACUUCGAAAGAAUAGGAAGAAUAAAUGACGGUACUAUUUA